Molecule: small RNA, 125 nt
Filed under: Marmota monax (woodchuck)
Lineage: Eukaryota; Metazoa; Chordata; Mammalia; Rodentia; Sciuridae
Source: RNAcentral
GCCGGGCACGGUGGCUCACGCCUGCAAUCCCAGCAAUUUGGGAGGCUGAGGCAGGAGGAUCGCAAGUUCAAAGCCAGCCUCAGCAAUGGUGAGGCACUAAGCAACUCAGUAAGACCCUGUCUCUA